This 79-nucleotide transfer RNA is filed under the name Podarcis lilfordi (Lilford's wall lizard). RNAcentral describes it as "tRNA.Val". The stretch from base 2 to 61 matches the Rfam family "tRNA", at positions 7 to 64 of the family's 71-position model. Rfam says of the family: Transfer RNA (tRNA) molecules are approximately 80 nucleotides in length. Their secondary structure includes four short double-helical elements and three loops (D, anti-codon, and T loops). Lineage: Eukaryota; Metazoa; Chordata; Lepidosauria; Squamata; Lacertidae. The record is from RNAcentral.
GAUAGCUCAGUUGGUUAGAGUAUGGCGCUGACAAUGCCAAGUUUGCGGGUUCAAUCCAGCUGCAUAUUCCUGCAUUGCA